CAGACUCAUGGCGUGGGGCGCUACCUGGGGCUCGAGACCCUGGAGGCCGGCGGCCAGGCCGCGGAGUUCCUGGCCCUGGAGUAUGCC
RNAcentral lists this transfer RNA (87 nucleotides) under Halomonas sp. NCCP-2165. RNAcentral describes it as "tRNA-Ser". Lineage: Bacteria; Pseudomonadati; Pseudomonadota; Gammaproteobacteria; Oceanospirillales; Halomonadaceae. The record is from RNAcentral.